This 441-nucleotide long non-coding RNA is filed under the name Amazona collaria (yellow-billed parrot). RNAcentral describes it as "lncRNA (ENSACOG00000012176.1)". The record is from RNAcentral. Lineage: Eukaryota; Metazoa; Chordata; Aves; Psittaciformes; Psittacidae.
AUGCCCACAACCCACAGCUCACCAACCCCAUCUGCGAGCCAUAGGGGCGCACAUGCGUAUCAGAAUGGCCCGGGCGUGUGGCUGCGCAUGCGCAGAGGUAGACGCGAGAGUCACGAGGGACCUGUUUGUCGCCCCGCCUCUCGGGGGAGUUCGUCGGCGCCUUGCUUUCGGAGCAUGCGCCCGCAGGGUCGCGAGAGAGGGUCCGGAAGCGCUCGUGCUGGUCCAACCGUAGUGGGGGGAGGACGAGGGGGCGGGCCCGGCGCAGGCGCGGGUCAGCCUCGUCUCAGAGCGCUGUGGGGGGCGGCGGAGGACGCCAUCUUGGUGGUGCUGUGCCGGGGACUGCGGGCCUCGGGGCUCGGCGCGGAGCCUGUCCUGGUGGCGUGUCCGUUAAGUUGAUUUUACAGAAUUUAUCAGGUCUUCAAAGCAGAAACAGGUGAUUUU